RNAcentral lists this ribosomal RNA (207 nucleotides) under uncultured bacterium. RNAcentral's name for it is "partial 16S ribosomal RNA". It matches the Rfam family "Bacterial small subunit ribosomal RNA", at positions 568 to 774 of the family's 1533-position model. The record is from RNAcentral.
UGCGUAGGCGGUUCUCUAAGUCGGAUGUGAAAACUCUGGGCUCAACCCAGAGACUGCAUCCGAAACUGGAGGACUAGGGUUCUGGAGGGGAAAGCGGAAUUCCUGGUGUAGCGGUGAAAUGCGUAGAUAUCAGGAGGAACACCGGUGGCGAAGGCGGCUUUCUGGACAGAUACCGACGCUGAGGCACGAAAGCUAGGGGAGCAAACA